UACGGGGGGGGCAAGCGUUGUUCGGAAUUACUGGGCGUAAAGGGCUCGUAGGUGGCCAACUAAGUCAUACGUGAAAUCCCUCGGCUUAACCGGGGAACUGCGUCUGAUACUGGUUGGCUUGAGUUUGGGAGAGGGAUGCGGAAUUCCAGGUGUAGCGGUGAAAUGCGUAGAUAUCAGGAGGAACACCGGUGGCGAAGGCGGGUCUCUGGGCAGUAACUGACGCUGAGGAGCGAAAGCGUGGGGAGCGAACAGG
Molecule: ribosomal RNA, 253 nt
Filed under: uncultured bacterium
Lineage: Bacteria
Description: partial 16S ribosomal RNA
Rfam family: Bacterial small subunit ribosomal RNA
Source: RNAcentral